AAAUAAAAUGAUGUCACUAUAAACCUUGCCAAGAAUCUCAUUGUACAUUGGAGAAGAAAACAUAUAGAUGUGAUAUUUCACUACUUGAGAGAGCUUGUGAGUGAAUAAAAAUUGGAGUUGGGGAAAAUUGAAGAUCAAGUUGCCAAUUUGCUAACUAAAGGAGUGAGAACUGAAGUGUUCAAGAGGUUGAAGAAGCACAUGAGUAUGGAAGAAUUCAUGGACUUGAAUUAAGGUGGUGUGUUGUGAUAUUUUGUAAUUCAAGUUGAUGUAAC
RNAcentral lists this long non-coding RNA (272 nucleotides) under Lathyrus oleraceus (garden pea). Its description in RNAcentral is "Pisum sativum (pea) long non-coding RNA (PSAT_LNC003200)". The record is from RNAcentral. Lineage: Eukaryota; Viridiplantae; Streptophyta; Magnoliopsida; Fabales; Fabaceae.